Molecule: transfer RNA, 90 nt
Filed under: Candidatus Doudnaibacteriota bacterium
Lineage: Bacteria; Candidatus Doudnaibacteriota
Description: Candidatus Doudnabacteria bacterium tRNA-Ser
Rfam family: tRNA
About the family: Transfer RNA (tRNA) molecules are approximately 80 nucleotides in length. Their secondary structure includes four short double-helical elements and three loops (D, anti-codon, and T loops).
Source: RNAcentral
GGAGAGGUCGCAUAGUGGCCUAGUGCGGCGGUUUGCUAAACCGCUGACGGUGAAAGCCGUCCGGGGGUUCGAAUCCCCCUCUCUCCGCCA